GAUGAACGCUAGCGGAAGGCCUAAUACAUGCAAGUCGAACGGGCAUAUUGAUUUCGGUUGAUAUGUUAGUGGCGCACGGGUGAGUAACGCGUACACAACCUGCCUUAUAUUGGGGGAUAGCCCUGGGAAACUGGGAGUAAUACCGCAUAAUAUUAUUGAGAGGCAUCUUUUGAUAAUUAAAGCUGAGGCGAUAUAAGAUGGGUGUGCGUCUGAUUAGGUAGUUGGUAGGGUAACGGCCUACCAAGCCGACGAUCAGUAGGGGGUGUGAGAGCAUGGCCCCCCACACGGGUACUGAGACACGGACCCGACUCCUACGGGAGGCAGCAGUGGGGAAUCUUGCGCAAUGGGCGAAAGCCUGACGCAGCAACGCCGCGUGCGGGAUGACGGCCUUGUGGUUGUAACCGCUUCAGCAGGGACGAAAUAGACGGUACCUGCAGAAGAAGCCCCGGCUAACUACGUG
Molecule: ribosomal RNA, 460 nt
Filed under: uncultured bacterium
Lineage: Bacteria
Description: bacterial SSU rRNA
Rfam family: Bacterial small subunit ribosomal RNA
Source: RNAcentral